RNAcentral lists this ribosomal RNA (675 nucleotides) under uncultured bacterium. RNAcentral's name for it is "bacterial SSU rRNA". It matches the Rfam family "Bacterial small subunit ribosomal RNA", at positions 809 to 1479 of the family's 1533-position model. The record is from RNAcentral.
GUGGGUACUAGGUGUGGGGUCCAUUCCACGGGUUCCGUGCCGUAGCUAACGCUUUAAGUACCCCGCCUGGGGAGUACGGCCGCAAGGCUAAAACUCAAAGGAAUUGACGGGGCCCCGCACAAGCGGCGGAGCAUGCGGAUUAAUUCGAUGCAACGCGUAGAACCUUACCUGGGUUUGACAUGGAUCGGGAGUGCUCAGAGAUGGGUGUGCCUCUUUUGGGGUCGGUUCACAGGUGGUGCAUGGCUGUCGUCAGCUCGUGUCGUGAGAUGUUGGGUUAAGUCCCGCAACGAGCGCAACCCUUGUUCACUGUUGCCAGCACGUUAUGGUGGGGACCCAGUGGAGACCGCCGGGGUCAACUCGGAGGAAGGUGGGGAUGACGUCAAGUCAUCAUGCCCCUUAUGUCCAGGGCUUCACGCAUGCUACAAUGGCUGGUACAGAGAGUGGCGAGCCUGUGAGGGUGAGCGAAUCUCGGAAAGCCGGUCUCAGUUCGGAUUGGGGUCUGCAACUCGACCUCAUGAAGUCGGAGUCGCUAGUAAUCGCAGAUCAGCAACGCUGCGGUGAAUACGUUCCCGGGGCUUGUACACACCGCCCGUCAAGUCAUGAAAGUUGGUAACACCCGAAGCCGGUGGCCUAACCGUUGUGGGGGAGCCGUCGAAGGUGGGACUGGUGAUUAGG